GAUGAACGCUAGCGGCAGGCCUAACACAUGCAAGUCGAGGGAGAAGCCCUUUCGGGGGCAGAAACCGGCGCACGGGUGCGUAACGCGUAUGCAACCUACCUUUCACAGGGGGAUAGCCCGAAGAAAUUUGGAUUAAUACCCCAUAAUAUUAUUGGAUGGCAUCAUUUGAUAAUUAAAACUGCGGUGGUGAAAGAUGGGCAUGCGUCCUAUUAGCUAGUUGGAGUGGUAACGGCACCCCAAGGCUACGAUAGGUAGGGGUCCUGAGAGGGAGAUCCCCCACACUGGUACUGAGACAGGGACCAGACUCCUACGGGAGGCAGCAGUGAGGAAUAUUGGUCAAUGGUCGGAAGACUGAACCAGCCAUGCCGCGUGCAGGAAGAAUGCCUUAUGGGUUGUAAACUGCUUUUAUAUGGGAAGAAUAAGGCGUACGUGUACGUGAUGA
This 442-nucleotide ribosomal RNA is filed under the name Capnocytophaga gingivalis. RNAcentral's name for it is "bacterial SSU rRNA". It matches the Rfam family "Bacterial small subunit ribosomal RNA", at positions 28 to 472 of the family's 1533-position model. The record is from RNAcentral. Lineage: Bacteria; Pseudomonadati; Bacteroidota; Flavobacteriia; Flavobacteriales; Flavobacteriaceae.